RNAcentral lists this ribosomal RNA (255 nucleotides) under uncultured bacterium. RNAcentral describes it as "partial 16S ribosomal RNA". It matches the Rfam family "Bacterial small subunit ribosomal RNA", at positions 524 to 776 of the family's 1533-position model. The record is from RNAcentral.
UACGGGGGGGGGCAAGCGUUGUUCGGAAUUACUGGGCGUAAAGGGCUCGUAGGUGGCCAACUAAGUCGGACGUGAAAUCCCUCAGCUUAACUGGGGAACUGCGUCCGAUACUGGAUGGCUUGAGUUUGGGAGAGGGAUGCGGAAUUCCAGGUGUAGCGGUGAAAAUGCGUAGAUAUCUGGAGGAACACCGGUGGCGAAGGCGGCAUCCUGGACCAACACUGACACUGAGGAGCGAAAGCGUGGGGAGCAAACAGG